UACGAAGGGGGCUAGCGUUGCUCGGAAUCAUUGGGCGUAAAGGGCGCGUAGGCGGCGGGGUAAGUCGGGUGUGAAAUCUCAGGGCUCAACCCUGAAACUGCACUUGAUACUGCUCUGCUUGAGGACUGGAGAGGAGACUGGAAUUCCCGGUGUAGCGGUGAAAUGUGUAGAGAUCGGGAGGAACACCGGGUGGCGAAGGCGGGUCUCUGGGCAUUUCCUGACGCUGGAGGCGACGGAAAGCGUGGGGAGCAAACGGG
Molecule: ribosomal RNA, 257 nt
Filed under: uncultured bacterium
Lineage: Bacteria
Description: partial 16S ribosomal RNA
Rfam family: Bacterial small subunit ribosomal RNA
Source: RNAcentral